Peromyscus eremicus (cactus mouse) is the source of this 538-nucleotide long non-coding RNA. RefSeq lists it as uncharacterized. Lineage: Eukaryota; Metazoa; Chordata; Mammalia; Rodentia; Cricetidae. The record is from RefSeq and is a predicted model, not a curated record. The transcript is spliced from 3 exons.
GUCACUGGAUCCAGCAGUCACCAGCCUCUGACAGAACAGAGGUGGGCUGAUAAAUUACAAUCUCCUCACUGACCUCUCAGACUCAACCCCUUCCGAGUAUGAACUGAACCUAUAAAGAGAGUGACCGUGGCAUAGGAAAGAAAAGACAUUGGGUAAGACAAAACACCACUUUGCUCUGAGAAAGGAUUCCCCGACCAUGUCCUUGCACUCUACACUCCUGUCUCCUCCUGACCCAAGAUGGAUAUGGGAAGCAGAGAGAGGUUUCCUGCUGUAGCCUCAAAGCAGUUCUCCAAUGUCACUUCUAAGGGAGACAUGUAUGGUCUGGUGUGAGAAGGGACCUCAGAGCCUUCUGCAUACAGAUAUGAAGGAAAGCUCCCUCUUCUUCCCUUCAAAGCCCCAUUGUGGCUGCAUACGGCCAUGAUGAUACACCUCCCCUAAUGAAGCCUCUCUGGACUGAAGAACCACUGUCCCUCCUCAGGGCCCCAUCUCUUAAGAACAUUUUAUGAAGGAUAAUUAAAUGUCAGCACCUUUCCACAAA